Molecule: non-coding RNA, 838 nt
Organism: Leptonychotes weddellii (Weddell seal)
Lineage: Eukaryota; Metazoa; Chordata; Mammalia; Carnivora; Phocidae
Source: RefSeq, a predicted model, not a curated record
GUAGAGUAGCCCUAAACUCGGUGAGGCGCGACGGGAGUUGUAGUUCCGCCACCUCGCGGGCUCCGUUUACGGGCGGUUUCCCAGGAGUUGAAGCCCCGCGCGCAGCCUAGCUGGGCACACCUCCCUCGGCGCUCUGCUUAGAAGCCGCUGCUCUUACUGCAGGGACGUAUUUGAUGCUGGUCCGUGCAUUUGGCGACACGUACUGGAGACUCCCUUGGAAAUGGACUCCAUUAACGUGAAACGGAGCGUUUUAGAGCAACCAGGAGUGACCGCUGUUUACCGAGCAUUUUCUCUGAAGCACGUACUGAGCUACGUGCUCUCAAUUAACUACAUUCGUUUAAUCCUGUGAAGUCGUGAUUAUUUAGCCUUAUUUUACAGAUGAGGACACUACAUGCCAACAAAAAAGCUCAACUUGAAGCAUAAAAGGAGCUAACCAUGCAGAGAUCUGGAGAUGGAAGAGAAAGGCUCUGAAGCAGAAAAUGUGCUUGCUAAAGUUGGAAGGACGGAAGAAGCAGGUGGAAGGAGCCCCAGGGAAAGAGAAGAACUGUGGUGGUAGUAAGCAGCACGUGCAUUCAUAGGACCUUCAUGCCUGGAACUCUGAAGAUUUUAAUCCUGGGUUGCUGUCAUGGUGGUGAUGAGUCUCAGAACCUGAGACUCUUAAAUCUCAGAACCAUGGAGCCUGCAUGUGGCUAAGAGCUUGGGCUCUACCCUCAGAGUCUGAACCCUUAUUUUUGUCUAAGGCUAGCAGUAUGUGACACCAUCUCUUUUGUGAUGCUGGACAGUGGCGAUGGGCCACAGCUCCCAGUCAGCCACGAUUACAAAGGUAAACAACUGAUAA